GCAAAUAAAUGAUCCUGACGAACAAACGUGACCAGAAUCUAACGAAGAGUAUAUGGGUACAUGCAGAUAAAUUAGUUACCAAGGCAUUCAUAGCUCCAGCUUUGAAAUGGUGUGGAUGUUGGGGUCUCUUCUCUCUAGCAAGGUAUACCAAAGUAGGCAAACCACACCCAUCAAUGUCUUUGGCAUUUGGAUCUUUCCCAUCUAUCAGAAUCUGUCAAACAAAGUGGAAGUACAAACAUCGAACACCAAGACUACAAUUAUACUUGAUGGGAAACUUUUGCAAGUUGAAAAAGAAAAAAAGAAGAAAAAAAAAACAUUACUUGAAGGAUAGUGUCAUGGUCUAGCCGUGAAGAGUAUGAAUCCCACUGUGAAAAUCCUUCAUGUUUGGAGCGUUGUUCUUCAGGGAUUCGACCUAGCUUGGUUGCACUUUCAAUUCGCUCUUUCAUUUCUUCAUAUAAUUUCUGCAACGAAAUAGCUUAUACUUUCAAUUUAUCACUGCGUCUCUUCAAAGUUUGUUUCUUAUAUAUAUAUAUAUAUUCUCUAAAUAGUGUUGGGAAUUUUUCUUUUAAUAAAAAAUAUUAAAUGAAUUUUUAUUAUUUUUUCACAUGAUUUUUAUUUAUUUUAAAAUAAUUUUUUUAAAUUAAAAUAAUCAAAUUAAAUUCUGUGAAAUUUUUUAUUUCUAAUAAGAGGAGAAAAUGUCUAAUGUGAAUUUUUUUAAAAAAAAAUUAUGAAUAUAAUUCCCUAUUAAACUUUCAUUAUAAUUAUAAGAAAAAAUUAUUUUUUAGUUCUUGAAAUUUAACGUAAUUAACAUUUUUAUCUCUCUAUUUUGACAAUCCAACACUUAAAUCUAUCACUUUCUUAUCCGUUCAAAUUUGUAGUUCUUCCAUAAAAAAUAACCGUUUGAUUAAAGAGAGAAAGGUGAGAUGUGAAAUUUUUUACCAAAAAUACCCUUAAUAAAAUUGUUAAAACCCUUCUCAAUAUGAAAUCCCUUCAUUCUUCUUCUCCCUCAUAUUUUAUCUAUUUUUUCCCUCCAUCCUUCUUUUCUCUCGUAUCUUUUUUAUUUUUUCCCUCCAUCCUUCUUCUCCUUGUUUCUUCCCUCCAUCCUUCUUCUCCCUAUUUCUUCCCUCCAUUCUUCUUCUCCCUCGUAUCUUCUCUAUUUCUUUUAUCCCUUCCGUACAUCUCUCUUGCUUCUCCUUCCUCUCAAUCCUCCCCUGUCUCUUCUUUUCUCUCAAUUUCUUAAAAUUCUCAAUGAGUUCUAGAAAUCAUUAAAUAAUUCUUGAAAUUUCCAUAGGAACUUGAUGAAAUUUCCAUACGAACUUGAUGAAAUUGUUGAAAAUAUUGGGUAAAAUAAUAAAACCUGAGUCGUGUUGAACACUGUCCUUAAGGAUUUAUUUUGUGAUCCCCCAUGAUUAAACAUGUUCUUCUGGGAUUUAAUUCCCAAGAUUAGGACAACAAGAAUUUAUCUCUAAUUUAUAACCCAGCAGAUAACACAGAGAAAAGAAAAAAUAAAGUAGAAAAAUUAGGAGUGAUAAUAUCUUUGUAAAGACGAAUGCUAUUUAUUGUAGAAAACUGACAGCUAUAUAUGGUUAUAAGAAUCUUGAAAUAAAAUCAUAACGGUCAUAUUUAAUAUUAUAUUUAAAUCUCAUAAAUAAAAUAUUUAAUAACCAUAAAAUCUUUAAUUACCAUAAAAUCUUCAACGACCAUAAAAUCUCUAAUUACUAUGAAAUCUCCAACGACCACAAAAUCUUUAAUGACCAUAAAAUCUCUUUGAAAUCUAAACUAAUUUUACAACAAUUCCCACAGAUUUCAAAAGAUUUUCAUUGCUGGGUUUAGAAAUUUAGUGUGUAUGUUUCGAAUCUAGUGUCUUUUAGACUAUGAAUCAGACCUAGAUUAAUAAGACUUAAUAUACAGAGUAAUUGGUGAAACUUUUAUUUCUAUGAACCAAAACUCUUUUUUGUAUAUUAAUUUCUCAUCAAACGGAUCUUGUUGUCAACGCCGUUUUGCGCUAAUAGGCCAUGCGCGCGCCUGGAAGUUCAUAAGUGCUCUAGAGAUUAUGCCACAAUCUCAUAGAAGCGGCCCCACUCCACACUUAUAUAGGUGAUAUCAUCAAGUGUAUACUGUAAUUUAUACACCACCUAUAAGAGAUAUGAAUAUCAUUAAGAGUUUUCAUCUCAUCAUCUCAUUAAUGCAGUCUAGCACUUCUCACACCAUAGAAAGGGACAACAAUAAAUGGUGCUAUCAGAACUAACAAGUGACUUGUUAUUAUCCAUAUGAACAUUUUUCAUGGGAUCUCCAAUCACAAAGGUUGGGUUACUAUCACAGUUAAUUUUAAAUUGGCUCAAGUUCCAUUCCUCUCGAUGUUUCAUCGAUUAGUUUUCUCUCUAAAGGUUUAGUCAGAGAAUUGGUCAAAUUCACUUCUGACUUCACAUAAUCAAUGGAAAUAGUUUCAUCUUUCAGCAGCUGCUUAACAACAUUAUGUCUCAGACGAAUAUGUCUAUUCUUACCAUUGAAAGUUUUAUUCUUUGCAAUAGCUAUUGCCGCUUGGCAAUCACAACGCAUUGAUAUAGAUGGUGUUGAUAAAAAAAUUCACUAAAUGCAACAGAUUCCCAAUGAUCUAUGCAUAUUCAGACUCUAAUUUUCUUUAAUUGACAGUUAGAAUCAUAAGGGGUACUUACAGGUUUGACAUUGAAAUAUCCAAACUUCCUUAGAACCUUUUCAACAUAAUGCUCUUGUGAUAGCAUUGGACUAUCAUUCUUCCUUAUGAUUCUAACUCCCAAAAUCACAUUUGCCUCUCUCACAUCUUUCAUAUCAAAUUUAGAGGCAAUGAAAAUUUUUUAUUUACAACUAUAUCAUAAUUUGUACCAAAAGUAAGCAUAUCAUCCACAUAUAAACAAAUAAUCACAGAUUCAUCAUUUAUACGUUUUGUAUAUACGCACUUAUCAAUCAUUUAUACAUUUUGUAUAUACACACUUAUCAACUUCAACAGAGAUAAAAUCAUCAUUCAACAAAACUUGAUCAAAUUUCUCAUGCCACUGUUUGAGAGCUUGUUUUAAACCAUAUAAUGAUCUAAGAAGUUUACAGACUUUAUUUUCUUGACCAGAAACAAUACAAUCAUUAGGUUGAACCAUAUAAAUUUCUUCUUCCAAGUCUCCAUUUAAAACUGUUUUAACAUCCAUUUGAUAAAUAACAAGUUUAUGCAUAAAACCUAAAGCAAUUAAUACUUUAAUAGAAGAAAUUCUGUCUCAGGAAGCUAAAACAAGUUUAUGUAUAGAAGCUAAAGCAAACUUAUAAACUUGAGUUUAUAGGUUUCAGCAUAACUUAUAAACAUGCAAUCAAAAGUUUUUGAACCUAUUUUUCAUUUCUUAAGAUCAGGAAGAAUUGUUUUAGCAAGAUACCCCUACACUUUUAUGUAAUACCCGGCUAGACUCCGGUAUCGGAAUUCCAACCGUUCGGUGGAAUCUCGGAUGUCGGAGACGUCUAGAAGGGUAAAAUCAUGUUUUCACAAAUGUUUUCAUGUUUUAAUGAUUUUUAAGUAAGAAUGAAUUUGAGUUUUUAAAUGAAAAAAACCAUGGAACCUUUACCAGGGUUGGCCGCCGAAAGUCAUGUUCGGCCGCCGAACGUGGAUAGGUUUUGGGAGCACUUUUGGCCUCCGAAAGUUUUGUUUGAAAGAGACCAGGUUCGGCCGCCGAACCUCAUGUUCGGCCGCCGAACAUGCAUGAGAUGUGGGGGCACAUUUGGCCCCCGAACGUGAACUGGCCAGCCCCUAUAUAAGAGCUCCAUGGCCGAAACGGGUGAGUUUUCUCCCCAUUUUCAGCCACGGUGAGUUCUUGCUCCUCCAUGGUUCAUUUUUGAUGAUUUUUCCUCAAUCUUUCAUGUUUUAACAAGGUUUAUGUCGUUUUGAAGAGAUUUGACCAAGUUUUGGAGCUUUGAGGUCCAAGAACUCAAAAUCUCCCACCUCCGAGUUUAGGACGUCUCUCUCUCGAUCUUCAAGAGGUAAGAGCCGAUCUUAAGCUCAUUUUAUGUUUAAAGUAAGUUUUAUGCAAGACCUAUGGGGUAGAAGGCAUGUUUAGCUCAUAGUUAGGUUUUUGAGUUAAUGUUAUGUUUUGAACAAUGUAUGUUGGAUUGUGUUGUUGUUGAGUGUUGUAGUUGGGGUUUAAGUUAGUUUGAGGCCCCUAGGAACCCUUGUAUGUAUAUUUGCAUGAUUUGAAUGAGUUAUGUGCAUGUUGGAAGAGUUGGGAGGCAAAUGUGCAUAAAGGAGCCAAGUUUCUGCCCUUUGGCAGAAACCAGGUUCGGCAGCCGAAGGCACUUUCGGCCGCCGAACAUGGCUGGGGAGGCAGGCCUUUCGGCUGCCGAAGUUGCCCCCGAAAAGAGACUUUCGUCUUUGUCUGGGACUUUCGGUCGCCGAAGGUGCCGCCGAACCUGCCUGGGUUUCGGCUCUGGAGGGACUUUCGGCCGCCGAAGGUGCCGCCGAACCUGCCCUGUUCUGCCUUCCUUUGUAUGUUUUUGCAUGAUUAUUUGAGGUGUUUUAGGGGGUUUUUGGGGGAUAUUUUUAGAGUUAUGUUCUAGUUGUUUGGUCCCUCAUUUGAGUCCACCUGUGUAGGUUCGGACCCGAGGAACCGAGGACCCCAGCAGUGAGUCCAGCUGCUUCUGAGUUAGUAGAGCUUCGGCCAGAGGUGAGUAGAAUAAACCUUAUGUUUUAAAGCAAAUGAAUUAUACAAUUGAGCAUGUUCAUGCAUCAUGAAUGCCAUGUGAUGAAAUAGGUUGUUUGCAUUAGAAUCCACGAAUAUGUUGCAUUGCAUUUAUGAUGUUGAUGUGGAUUGGUUAUUGGAUGACCUUUUAGUCCUCAUACGAUAUGAUGAUGCUACGGCAUGAGAUAGUAUGGAAGUCCAGGUUGUACCCAUUCUACGUCCCUGGCACUAUGUAAGAGAAAGUCCAGGUUGUACUCAUUCUACGUCCCUGGCACAUUGGUAUGUAUGAUAUGUUAUGUUAAGAGAAAGACCGGUUGUACCCAUUCUACGUCCCGGCACUUUGGAAUGUAGAGGACUAUAGGUGACAAUACCAUCCGAGAUGUGAUUUGUUGUGAUGUGUUGCAUUACAUGAUGGCAUGAGUUUUAAAUAUUUUUCUAUUAUUCUGCUCACUGGGCUCUUGUAGCUCACCCCUUUUCCCUAAUCCCUCAGAAUUGCAGGUACGGGCUAGACAGAGAAGUCAGGAAGAGUAAAGUCUUAUGUUUGUAAUAGUUAGAUAGUGGACAAGAUAAAUUGUAAGAUGAUGUAAAGUUAAAUAGUUAUGUUAUGUAUAAUGAUCUUGAGGUUUAGAAGUGUGCUUGACCAUAGUUUAUUGUAAUCCCCUGUUGAUACAUGAUCUUAAUGUCUAUUGAUGUUUAUAUUUAACCAACUCAACUUAUGAUGUAUCGCCCAUUGGGGCAUUGAUGAGAUCCCACAGAGGGGUUGAGUUUAUGAUUAUGAGUAUGUUUAGUGAAUGCACAUGUUGAGUUUGGUGUAUGAGGAAUAAAUGAAAGAAAAGUUUUAAUUUUUAUGUAUGAUUGUUGAUCAUGUAUGGGAUUAAUCAGGUUUUCAGGAUGUAUGUUAGGCUUGCUACGGGUCCCGGCGGCCUUAAGUCGACCCGGAUCCUAGCGCCGGUAGCGGUUCGAUUUUCGGGACGUUACAUUUUAAAUAUUUUAAGUUAGGUAUAUAACCUUUCCAAAGUUCAUAGGGUAUUUUAUCAGUUUUCUUAUAGGGUAUUAUAUUUUGUAGAUGACAAGCAGAUAAUAAAGCUUCCCCCAAAGGUUAUUAGGUGAGGAAUAACUUAUUAAUAAAGCAUUCAUCAUUUCUUUUAAUAUCCUAUUUUUUCUUUCCGCUACUCCAUUAGAUUUAGGUGAGUAGGGUGAAGUAAAUUCAUGAAUUAUUCAUUCCUUUUCACAAAAGUCAUUAAAUAAGAUAUAUUCUCCACCUCUAUCUGAUCUAAUCCUUUUUAUUUUCCUAUUUAAUUGAUUUUCUACUUCAGCUUUAUACAAUUGAAACAUAUUAAAUGCUUCAUCUUUGUUUCUAAGCAAAUAUACUUUAGUAUAUCUAGAAUAGUCAUCAAUAAAAGUUACAUAAUAUUUUUUUUUUACCACCUCUAGUCAUAGUUUGUUUUAAAUCCCCUAAGACUUUGUGUAUUACUAAGCAAUUCAGAUUCUCUAUGUGUAGUUGAACAUGAUUUUUUUUUGUUUGACUUAGAUUCUACACAAAUCUCACAUUUAUUUAAACAUGUAUUACCGGUGACAGAUAUUAUACUAAUAUAUUGCUCCUUUCUUUUUUUUCUUUUUUUUUUAAAUAUAAAAAACACUAACAUUUCCUAAUCUAUCAUGCCAUAAAUUAAAAGAACCAAGCAAGAAAGCACAAGAUGAUGUAUUUCCAUUUGUUAUUGCAAAAAUAUUGAGAAUAAAGAGUCUCUGAUUACAAUAACAUUUUUCAAUAAAAAUAUCAUUUUUAGUCAGUAUAAUUUUGUCUGACCCAAAUGACUCCUUAAUCCCAUCAUUUCUCAAUAGUAUUCCAGAAAUUAAAUUAGCUCUCAUAUUGGGUACAUGAAGUACCUCAUUAAGUGCAAAGGUCUUUUCAGAUAUGAGUUUGAGAAGAACUUUCUCUUUACUAAGUAUACUUGCAGUCCUAAAAUCACCAAAAUACACAUGUUCGUCUCCUUCUCCCACUGUAAAGUAGGAGGUAAACGCAUUUCUGUUUGUACAGAUAUGCCUAGUAGCACCAAAAUCUACUACCCAUUCUAGCACAUUAGCUACAAGAAAAGUUUGAGAAAUAACCACAGCAACAAUGUCAUCUCCUUCAACUAAAUUCACUUUUGGUUUAGGAGGAUUGUCAUUUAUCACUCUUUUCCUGUACUGGGGUGCAUCAUGAUCCGGCUUACCACAUACAAGACGAUAUCCUUUCCUUUUAAAAAUGGGAUUAUUAAACUUGAGCUUGUAAUUAGAUUUCUUAUUUUCAUACCUGUUAUUUGAUUUGUGCACUUUUUCUUUAUACAAGAUUUGCUCUUGUAGCCAACAUCCUCAGCAGUAUAUUUCAAGUUCAUUGAAUCUCAUUUUUUUUUAUUGAAUCCCAUAUUUCAUUGAAUCUCAUAUUUACUUGGUUUCCUUGUAAGAACAAUAGUUAUCAAAGAAAUUGUUAAAAAGAGUACUGAUAAUUGUAUGCCUGUAUACCUUAUUAGAAUAGACCCAAAUUUCAUGCAACUUUGGAUCAAUAGCAGGUACAGGUCUUGAUUCUCAAUCUUUGAGAUGUGAGGACAGUAGGCAGAAGAAACCGACCAUUUGUAGAAGCAGAGAUAAUGAUAAUGUCAUUGGAAGCGGGCAGUGCAGAAAUAGAGACAGUGACAACAUUUGGUUUCAUUUGUGUAAAGAUAAAUCCUUAAGAUUGUUGGAAAUAUUGGGUAAAAUAAUGAAACCUGAGUCGUGUUGAACACUGUCCUUAAGGAUUUAUUUUGUGAUCCCCGAGGAUUAAACAGAUUCUUCUGAGAUUUAAUUCCCAGGAUCAGGACAACAAGAAUUUAUCUCUGAUUUAUUACCCAGCAGAUAACACAGAGAAAAUAAAGAAUAAAGUAGAAAAAUUGGGAGUGAUAAUAUCUUUGUAAAGACGACUAUUGUGGAAAACUGACCGCUAUAUAUAGUUAUAAGAAUUUUGAAAUAAAAUCAUAACGGUCAUAUUUAAUAUUAUAUUUAAAUCUCAUAAAUAAAAUAUUUAAUAAAUAAAAUAUUUAAUAACCAUAAAAUAUUUAAUAACCAUAAAAUCUUCAACGAUCAUAAAAUCUCUAAUUACCAUGAAAUCUCCAACGACCACAAAAUAUUUAAUGACCAUAAAAUCUGUUUGAAAUCUAAACUAAUUUUACAACAGAAAUUUUCAUGGAAACUUAAUUUCUUUUAUCAUUUUUUUUAUUUAGAAAAUUGUGAGUGCGGAAUGGCGAACAGUGUGAGAGACCUAGUAGAAGUUGGAAAAGCUAUGAAAGGAGCAACCUUUGAUGUGGUGUUAGAUAACAAUGGUAAGGACCUUGAUGCUGUGAGGUUUGGCAAGCCUAUUGACUCAAACCCAUUAUUAAUAUAAGCAAACAAUCCUAAUCAACUUUCACAAACAGGCCUGGCCCAAGAACAAAAUUGACGAUAUUUUGUUCUAAACAGAGAUUGUCCAGAAAAGGCCAGUGCCAAUCCUUGAAUCUAUGAUGCAACUAACUAAUAUUGCUCAUGUUAGAGACUUGUCCUCUAUACUUACAGCAGUUGUUGAGAACCUAGAAGCUGCAAGUAAUAAAAUAUUCAAUUGCGUAAGCGACCGUAAUGUGACUCUGGAUGGAAGGCCAAACUUUGUGCACAAGCGGCAGGACUAUCAAUUGAAAUCGUGCAUUAUGAUUCAAAAGCCGUUGAAGUUGACGCAGAGAAAGCUUUUCUUUUCCGAAAAGAAACAAAGAAAAUAUGAGCAAAAAGAAAAAUAUAAGGAUUUCACGUUAAAAGGGGUUUUAACAAUUUUAUUAAGGGCAUUUUUUAUAAAAAAAUCUCACCUCUCACAUUUAACUCUUUGACCAAACGGCUAGUUUUGAUGGAAGGACUAUGAAUUCGGAUGGAAGGACUAUGAAUUCGGAUGGAAGAGAAAGUGAAAGACUUAAAUGUUGGGUCGUCAAAAUAGAGGGACAAAAGUGUUAAUUGCAUUAAAUUUUAGGGACUAAAAAGUAAUUUUUUCUAAUUAUAAAUUAAAUUAAUUUAAACCUUUAUCAUUAAUGUAAACAUAUUUUUUUUAUCAUCGAUCUUCAACUAAAUUUUUAUAUUUUAUAUAUUGAUUGCUCUUAUUUAAAAAUAUAUAAAAAUGUUUUACAGAGUAAUUGUAAUAUUUUUUAAAAAAUUAUAAAAUUUGAAUUUAAAAGAAUCUAUAUGUGAGAAUUAUGAAAUUUUUUUUGAAAAAAAUAUUUUGCAAUCUGUCAAAAUUAGUAAAUUCAAACUUAUAAAUAAAAUAUAUAUACAAAAAAUUUUAAAAUUAUUUAAAAAUUAUAAUUUAUUUUAUAUUCAUAAAUUUAAUACGAUAAUAAAUAUAUCCAAAUAAAUAAUUUAAUAAUAAAUAUAUUUAAAUAGAUUUGAGAGUUUUUAAAUUUCGAAUUUAACCGAUAAUAAAUCAUUACCUUAAUAGCUACGGACGCCUCAAUACGAUGAGAAAGAUCCAUACAAGAUUUGGAAUCAGCAAAAUAAGCAGCAGGAGACCUUGGUUCCACCUUGAACUUCUUACAAUAUGGUAUCCAAUGUCUGGCAAACUCGGAACCCUCCAAGAGAGCAUAAAACGUAAGAUCUGAUCCACCAUCGUCCGACAGAUACACACUAAGUUUUUCCGGUGAAUAAUCAUAAGCCAAAACAGAUAACACCGUAUUCACCACCAUUAUCGGCGGCUCUAUCUUGAAAUUUGCUGUGCAUACAAAUAUAUCUACUCCAGGCAACUCAUCCUGGUACCUCCAAGAGAGCCUGUCCUUGAAGGUGGACCUGAAGACUGGGUUCCACCUGAGAGCUUGAGUGAUGAGCCAGUAAAGACCGAACCAUAACUCAGCUGCAAGCAGUCCAAUCCAAACCCAUCUGCCAUCUUCUCCAUUUUUUGGUAAGUUAGUGAUUCUGUAAACCCAUAUGAAGCAUACAGCAAGAAACACAGUUACAGAGAAGAGCCUGUAAAAGAGCCAUGCCUUAGCUUCUUUUGUUUCAAAUAAUGGGAUGUAUUGCUCUCUUUCCAUCUCUCUGUUUAAUUCUUUCUAAAUGAUCUGCACUCAUAAUUUUUAUCUUUUUUUUGGUUUACAUGAAAAUUUAAGAAAAAAAAAUAAAAGAGAAGAAUGGUGGCCACAUAGUAUAUUAUCCACAACUUAUUAAAAAAAAUCAUAAUUACUCACACUUAGUACUUUAAAUCUUAUUAUAUGUCAAAAUUAUUUUUAUUUUAUUAAUUUUAAUUUUAUUAUUUUAUAAAUUAUUGGUGAUAGGGAUUAAUUUACAUUUGAUUAUUACGAUUUUAUAAAGUAUAAUUUUAAUUUAAAAUUUUAAUAAGUUAAUAAGUUAAUCUCAAAUAAUAGUAUAGUAGGGUGUCUUAUAUAAUGGCAUAAACAUAAUACAAGAAAAAUAUAAAUAAAAAAUUGUAUGUGAUUCCAUUUAUUUAUUGAAAAAUAUUUUAACAUUUUUUAAGAUUUAGAAAACUCAGAAAAAUAGUAAAUGAAAAAUAUUUUUUUUAAAAAAAUCAUUUUUUAUAUUUCAAACAUUUUGCAAAUACUAUAACGUGUAAAAUGUAUUUAAUAUGAUUGAAAUAUAAAUAUACUGCCACUAAUUAUUCUUAUAAGAAAAAAAAAAGCGAGUUGAUGGAUAUUUAUAAGGGCCAUUCCGACGGUGAAAUAAAUAAACGAAUAAAAAACAAUUGUAAUAUAAUAUUUUAAACUCAUGAGUAAUAUACAAAAAUUAUGUAAUUUAAUUUUUGUGAUUAUUAAUUUUUAUGUUGUCAGAAAAUAGAAUUAGUUAUCACAUCAUCAUCUAACAGUAACUUCCAAUUAUGUAAAUAAUUAACGAUGGUUAAUUAGAACUAAUUACUACGAAUAUAAUAUUUUGCACAGGGAAAACUAGAACUAGAAACUAUAUAUUUGCAUAAUCUCAACUUAAUUUUUUACUGUCUCAAGAAAUAGAAAAUAGAAAACAUUAAAUAUCAGUAAAUUACAGAACUUGUAAAUAGCCACAAGGAAGAGAAUCAAUAUAGGAGAGUGAAGCUAGAGGAAGCAAGAAGAGCUACAACAAAUGAUUUGAAAGCUAGAGAACUUGGCAACUUGCCGUUGUCAUUCCUCAGGAAAAGGCCCUGAUACAGAGGCAAGUUGAUGAGAACCAAAGCAAUGCAGAGAAGAGUUUGCAAAGGCAUAGUCUUGUAAAGACUAAAAACAUCGCCAUUCAUGAUCACUUUAUUCACAACUCCAAUAAAGCAGAAGAGAUUGAGCAUUGCAAGUGUUGCUAAGAUGGCGAACAUUGGAGAGGAAUCUCCAAAUUCCAUCAUCUCUUUCUCGUACCUUUUUAAUACAUCUUCAUCGGUAAAUUUUGCAGUGACUACAAAUGUUGAUUCAGUGAAUCCUAGCAUCUUCAAAAUGGUGUCAAUGAAUCCAAAGAAGAAGGAGCUUGUUCUUUUAUAUAACCACAUUCUUUGUUCACACCACCAGCCAAGGAUUGUGCCACCAGACCAUAGGAAUUCAGCUAGGCUAUAAAUGUAUCGAGUAGCUAUUACAUAAGCAAAAGGUAGGAUCCAUGGGCUCGAGAUCUGAAAAAACAACAAAAAAUUUUGAAUAGUUAGAUUAUAGAUGCAUUCACAAAAUCAAAGGUUUGUAAGAAAAUUCGUAAUUGAUAUAAGAGAACGCACACACACAUAUAUAUAUACCUGUGGGAACAAGGAUAUGCCUUUAAGGAGAUAAAGCGAAGGGAAUAUACAGUAACAGAGUACUGGAAUGCUGGAUGGACACCAGAAACAAUAGUAGCAAUAACCUAGUUGCAGGCCAAAGCUAAUCUUUCCACGGGCAUACGAUAAAGGGCUAUAAUUGCAAAACAAAAUCUGGAAAGCACCUUCAGCCCAUCUCUUGUGCUGCACCAGUGUCUGAGACAAGGUAGUUGGAGCCAGACCGAUGAAUGCCUUCCUUUCUGGAUUGAUAUACACUGAUUUCCAUCCUCUGCAAUGGAUUGACAAGCCAGUAAUCACGUCUUCGAGCAGACACCCGUAUCUCAGACCCAUCUGCAAUCCAACAUUCUUUUUGUUAGAGUAGAAUUUCAUAAAGAAAUUAAUGGAGAUUAAUUGCUGAUAGACCUCUUUGCCCCAUUGAGUGUUUUGCUCGUAAGUACAGCUUGCAAGAGACUUUGUUUCUUGUUCUAAUUCCAGUAUGCUCCUUAGUCUCUUAUGAUCAUCAUCGUUCUUCCAUUCAAAUUUGCUAUCUUUAGUGAAUUUCCUUCCACACAGAACAUCUCUCCUCUGAAAGCAGCCAGUUCCACAAUAUGGAGGGCCUCCAAAACCAUCCAAACCAUGGAAUUCCACCUUUAAAAAUUGCCAACAUUUAGCAAAGAAGCAGGACGAAUUAUGAAACUCUAACACAUGACUGAUCAGUUUAAAUAUAUAUACACUUGUCUGCGCUUACAUUGAAACCCACUCGUAAAGAGUUGCUGUAAACAUCAUUCUUGGUAAUAUUUUCGAAGUGUUGUGGGUAUUGUGCAAAAGCAACUUCAUGGCUUUUCUCUUCAUCCAAGAAGAAGCAAAGUGCAUCGUGAACGGAUAAUGAAUUGUUUGAGUACAUAUCACAGUCAAGAUUGAGAAUAAUCGGUCCAUUGCUGAUCUUUGAUGACACUCUAAUCUGCAUAGUAGACCAAAAAAAGGCAAAUAAAUGAUCUUGACGAACAAACAUGACCAGAAUCUAACAAAGAGUAUAUGGGUACAUGCAGAUAAAUUAGUUACCAAGGCAUUCAUAGCUCCAGCUUUGAAAUGGUGUGGAUGUUGGGGUCUCUUCUCUCUAGCAAGGUAUACCAAAGUAGGCAAAGCACACCCAUCAAUGUCUUUGGCAUUUGGAUCUUUCCCAUCUAUCAGAAUCUGUCAAACAAAGUGGAAGUACAAACAUCGAACACCACGACUACAAUUAUACUUGAUGGGAAUUAAACUCAUGCAAGUUGGAAAAGAAAAAAAAAAAAA
Molecule: long non-coding RNA, 12690 nt
Filed under: Manihot esculenta (cassava)
Lineage: Eukaryota; Viridiplantae; Streptophyta; Magnoliopsida; Malpighiales; Euphorbiaceae
Description: long non-coding RNA (MESC_LNC001855)
Source: RNAcentral